AUUUCAGGAGGACACUUCCUGAUUAGAGCCUUGUACCUCUCCCAUGCCUCAUAGAUGGGUUCAGCAUCCAUUUGUGUGAAUGUUGGUACCUCAGUCUUCAACCU
Arachis stenosperma is the source of this 104-nucleotide small nucleolar RNA. NCBI's taxonomy places the organism in Eukaryota, Viridiplantae, Streptophyta, Magnoliopsida, Fabales, Fabaceae. The record is from RefSeq and is a predicted model, not a curated record.